RNAcentral lists this ribosomal RNA (253 nucleotides) under uncultured bacterium. RNAcentral's name for it is "partial 16S ribosomal RNA". It matches the Rfam family "Bacterial small subunit ribosomal RNA", at positions 524 to 776 of the family's 1533-position model. The record is from RNAcentral.
UACGUAGGUGACCAGCGUUGUCCGGAUUUACUGGGCGUAAAGCGUGCGCAGGCGGUUUUGUAAGUCUGAUGUGAAAUCCCCGGGCUCAACCUGGGAAUUGCAUUGGAGACUGCAAGGCUAGAGUCCGGAAGAGGCGAGUGGAAUUCCCGGUGUAGCGGUGAAAUGCGCAGAUAUCGGGAGGAACACCAAUGGCGAAGGCAGCUCGCUGGGACGGUACUGACGCUGAGACGCGAAAGCGUGGGGAGCAAACAGG